AGGAUUUUAGUUUAAAAGAAAACAUUUGAUUUGCAAUCAAAAAAUAUUGAAACCAAUUUAUCUUA
Molecule: transfer RNA, 65 nt
Filed under: Eurytides protesilaus
Lineage: Eukaryota; Metazoa; Arthropoda; Insecta; Lepidoptera; Papilionidae
Description: Protesilaus protesilaus tRNA-Ala
Rfam family: tRNA
About the family: Transfer RNA (tRNA) molecules are approximately 80 nucleotides in length. Their secondary structure includes four short double-helical elements and three loops (D, anti-codon, and T loops).
Source: RNAcentral